Non-coding RNA from Schistosoma curassoni, 45 nucleotides. The record is from Rfam. NCBI's taxonomy places the organism in Eukaryota, Metazoa, Platyhelminthes, Trematoda, Strigeidida, Schistosomatidae.
AUCCAGCUGACAAGAUCCAAAUAGAACGAAACGCACGUCCUGGAU